CACAUUGCAAGUUUCCUACUUACAGGAAAAGCAUGAAGCAUUUAACCCCCCCUCCCCAAACCCUUCGUAUUUGCCAGUCAGAGGGUGCUUUCAGGACUUGGCUACGACAUUCUGUACAUUUUUUGUCUGGAGCGGAUUGCAGUCGUUAAUGUAAAGGGAAAUGUUGGGCUUUUUUUUCUGGGGCUCUUUUUCAAUUAUUCCCUGGAAAUACCCAGAGAUCAGGGCUUGCUUCCAUUGCCUGAAUGUGUUGAGUCUGGUGGCAGCGAUUGGGUGGACUGCUGUAUACAAAUAACUGGUUUCCAAAAUAUGUCACUGGGUGGAAAAUACACUAACGUUAAGUUUUGUUUUUGCAACAAAUUUUAACACAACCUAGCAACCUCUAUCAACAGAAUGUUUUCUAUUAGUGAGAAAGGCUGCGGAGGUAUCUGCUGCGGCAGAACGUCAGAAUAAAUAAAUAAAUACGUCCCGUGCCAGUACUCCUCCAGUCAGAAGAAUCGGAACCAAAUAGUUUUUACUUGAAGUGAGAAUACCAUCAGUGAGAAGAUCACAGCCAUGCUGAAUUCAUUACUGCAGUAGUCACACAAAACCACGGAUAAAAUUUCAAUAACUGCAGGCCACAGUUGAGUAAACAGUUGCACUGAAACUUAA
Molecule: non-coding RNA, 648 nt
Organism: Phalacrocorax carbo (great cormorant)
Lineage: Eukaryota; Metazoa; Chordata; Aves; Suliformes; Phalacrocoracidae
Source: RefSeq, a predicted model, not a curated record